This 433-nucleotide ribosomal RNA is filed under the name Salmonella enterica subsp. enterica serovar Typhimurium. RNAcentral describes it as "bacterial SSU rRNA". It matches the Rfam family "Bacterial small subunit ribosomal RNA", at positions 542 to 974 of the family's 1533-position model. The record is from RNAcentral. Lineage: Bacteria; Pseudomonadati; Pseudomonadota; Gammaproteobacteria; Enterobacterales; Enterobacteriaceae. RNAcentral also lists the same sequence under 1 other name.
UAAUCGGAAUUACUGGGCGUAAAGCGCACGCAGGCGGUCUGUCAAGUCGGAUGUGAAAUCCCCGGGCUCAACCUGGGAACUGCAUUCGAAACUGGCAGGCUUGAGUCUUGUAGAGGGGGGUAGAAUUCCAGGUGUAGCGGUGAAAUGCGUAGAGAUCUGGAGGAAUACCGGUGGCGAAGGCGGCCCCCUGGACAAAGACUGACGCUCAGGUGCGAAAGCGUGGGGAGCAAACAGGAUUAGAUACCCUGGUAGUCCACGCCGUAAACGAUGUCUACUUGGAGGUUGUGCCCUUGAGGCGUGGCUUCCGGAGCUAACGCGUUAAGUAGACCGCCUGGGGAGUACGGCCGCAAGGUUAAAACUCAAAUGAAUUGACGGGGGCCCGCACAAGCGGUGGAGCAUGUGGUUUAAUUCGAUGCAACGCGAAGAACCUUAC